CAGCGCCUUCGCCGGCUCGUACUGAGCACGCGCAGGCGGCUCCGGCAUGUUCCGACAAGCCGCGACGGGAGGCCCUUGCUGACUCUGCACCGGCCCCUGGCGGGAUGAGAUGACAUCAGCUCGGCGGGACGGGCGCAGGCGGGACAACGCAGCAAAGAGGAGAAUGUAUGAAAACUCCAUGGGGUCAGCCAAAAAUGUGAUAAGUGAGACUGUUGAUGUAGCAGAGAGUUAUAACAUGAUGGCUUCUUUCCAACGCUCUAAUAGUCAUGACAAAGUGAGGAAAAUUGUUGCAGAAGAGGGUCGUACAGCAAGAAACCUUAUUGCAUGGAAUGUCCCACUGGAAAGCAAAGAGGACGAUAGUAAGUCUAAAUGGCAAGUAGGUGGAAAAUCUAAGAGAGUGACUCAUGGAACACAUAAACCUACAAAACAGAGCACUACAGUAGACUGUAAAAUAACAUCAGGAGCCGCUGGAGAUAAAAACUUUGACAAAAGCCCAACAAAAACAAGGCAACCUCGAAAAGUUGAUUUGAGAGCUCGAUAUUGGGCAUUUCUUUUUGACAAUCUUAGACGGGCAGUUGAUGAAAUCUAUGUUACUUGUGAGUCGGAUCAGAGCGUAGUAGAAUGCAAGGAGGUUCUAAUGAUGCUAGAUAACUAUGUAAGAGAUUUCAAGGCAUUGAUUGACUGGAUACAGCUACAGGAAAAGCUAGAAAAGGCUGAUGCUCAAAGCAGACCUACUUCAUUGGCCUGGGAAGUAAAGAAGAUGUCUCCAGGACGCCAUGUAAUACCAAGUCCAUCAACAGAUAGAAUCAGUGUAACAUCAAAUGCUCGAAGAAGUUUAAAUUUUGGGAAUCCAUCUGUGACCAUUGCUACCACUCGUCUGGCUCCUUCAGGUGUAAGUUGGGCUGAUAAGGUGAAAGCUAACCAUGGAGCUAAAGCUGCCACUCCAGAGCUAGCAACUACACAAACCUGCAUGCCAACACCAGUGCAGAAGUCAUCACGGAGAAAUGAACAGAUGCUGGCUGAACAUCCCAGGAGACGGAAGAAAUUCUUACUUCAUAGGAGCAAGAAAAGAGAAAGAAAGGAUGCAGAAGGAUGGGAAACAGUUCAGCGUGGAAGGCCUAUUCGAUCUCGAUCUACAGCUAUAGCGACAAAAACUCCUGUAGCUGCAGAAUUGCUAAGAGCUAAAGAUGACAGUGACAAAGAAAAUGUAGUCUUCAGACCAUCAGAAAGUAAACAGAAGAAUUCAUUCGAUGAAGAUAGUGCAUCCAAAAAUAUAGAACCUCUGCAGAAAGAUUCUUUAUAUCUGAGUGAGCAUCCUCUUGCUGAAAGGACUCAGUUCACAGCACACACACUAGAAGAUACCAGAAACACUGGCAACGUGGUUUUACAGGACAGUUCUUGCUUACAAACACCUUCUGAAAUGCCUGCAGUUGUCAUAGACACUGAACUUACUUCAGAAAGUCUACAGAUUGAUGAAUCUCCCUCCUUGAUCUCUGGUAGUAAAGAACAACAUGAAGCAUUAAAAAACAAGAUAGAAAGUGAAAUGGACCCCUCAGACAUUUCAAAUGUGAGUGCUGCCAGAUUGUCUAUGGCAGAAGUCCUUGCUAAAAAAGAAGAGUUAGCAGAUCGCCUGGAAAAGGCCAAUGAAGAAGCAAUAGCUAGUGCCAUUGCAGAAGAGGAGCAGUUAACUAGAGAGAUUGAAGCAGAAGAAAACAAUGACAUUAACAUUGAGACUGACAAUGAUAGUGAUUUUUCUGCUAGCAUGGGCAGUGGAAGUAUAUCUUUCUGUGGCGUGUCUAUGGACUGGAAUGAUGUCCUGGCUGAUUAUGAAGCUCGUGAAUCAUGGCGUCAAAAUAAUUCAUGGGGUGAUAUAGUGGAAGAAGAACCUGCACGUCCACCAGGCCAUGGAAUACAUAUGCAUGAGAAACUUUCUUCACCAUCUCGCAAAAGAACAAUAGCAGAAUCUAAAAAGAAACAUGAGGAGAAACAGAUGAAAGCUCAACAGCUGAGAGAAAAGUUACGUGAAGAGAAAACGCUAAAGCUUCAAAAACUGAUAGAGCGGGAGAAAGAUGUGCGAAAGUGGAAAGAAGAAUUACUGGAUCAGAGACGCAGGAUGAUGGAGGAAAAAUUACUCCAUGCUGAAUUUAAACGUGAAGUGCAGUUACAAGCAAUUGUGAAAAAAGCACAAGAGGAAGAAGCAAAGGUAAAUGAAAUUGCAUUUAUAAACACCUUAGAAGCCCAAAAUAAACGUCAUGAUGUGUUGUCCAAACUAAAAGAGUAUGAACAAAGACUAAAUGAAUUACAGGAGGAACGCCAACGGAGGCAGGAAGAAAAGCAAGCACGUGAUGAAGCUGUUCAGGAGCGUAAAAGAGCUCUGGAAGCAGAACGCCAAGCCCGGGUUGAAGAGCUGCUGAUGAAGAGGAAAGAACAAGAAGCUCGGAUUGAACAGCAGCGGCAGGAGAAAGAGAAAGCACGGGAAGAUGCAGCACGGGAAAGGGCCAGAGAUCGAGAGGAGAGGCUGGCAGCUCUCACUGCAGCUCAACAAGAAGCAAUGGAGGAGCUACAGAAAAAGAUUCAGCUGAAGCAUGACGAAAGCAUUCGGAGACACAUGGAACAAAUUGAACAGAGGAAAGAAAAGGCAGCUGAAUUAAGCAGUGGCAGACAUGCUAAUACUGAUUAUGCACCUAAACUUACACCAUAUGAACGAAAAAAGCAGUGUUCAUUAUGCAGUGUCUUGAUUUCCUCAGAGGUGUAUCUUUUUAGCCACAUUAAGGGGAAAAAACACCAACAAGCAGUGAGAGAAAAUAGCAGCAUCCAAGGACGAGAGCUUUCAGAUGAAGAAGUGGAGCACCUGUCAUUGAAGAAGUACAUUGUUGAUAUUGUGAUUGAAAGCUCUGUUCCAGCAGAACCUUUAAAAGAUGGAGAGGAGAAGCAAAAAACAAAAAAGAAGGCAAAGAAGUUGAAGGCUCGGAUGAACUCCAGGGCUAAAGAAUAUGAAAGUUUAUUGGAAGCAAAAAAUGCCACCUCUGAAUCACCAUACAAAGCAAAGCUGCAGCGAUUAGCAAAAGAUCUUCUAAAGCAGUUCCAAGUACAGGAUAGCAGUUCAUUGGCAAACAACAAGGUUUCUGCUCUGGACAGGACUUUAGGAGAGAUUUCUCGUAUUCUGGAAAAGGAGAAUGCAGCAGAUCAGAUAGCAUUCCGGGUUGCAGGAGGACUCUCAGCCCUUGAACACAUUCUUCAAGUAGUGAUUUCUUCCACAAAUCUGAAUGCAGUUUCACGGAUUCCUCCCAAGUCACUCUGCAGUGCCGUGAAUGUUUACAACCUGACCUGCAGUAAUUGCACAGAAAACUGCACCUAUGUUCUGUUUAGUAAUAAGAUCACUUUUUUAAUGGAUCUGUUGAUGCAUCAGUUAACGGUUUGUGUUCCAGAUGAAUAUAAUGCAAUAUUAGGAAGAAGUGCAAAUAAGCAAGUAUUUGAAGGUUUAACAACUGGACUUCUCAGAAUCAUUGCUGUGGUCUUUAGGUAUCUGAUUUCCAGUCUACCAGAUGUAAACAAUCAGCCCACUGCACCCAAAAUAAUACAGGAAGUCAAAAACAAGCCCUCAAAAGUUGAGGCCUUUAACACCAGGGUUCAGGACCUGAUCAGUUAUGUGGUGAAUAUAGGAUUGAUAGACAAAUUAUGCUGCUGUUUCCUCUCCGUCCAAGGUCCUGUUGAUGACAAUUCAAAAAUAGCUACUUUUCUGCAAAAUGCUACAGCAGUGUUACAUGGAAUGUGUCAGCUCUGUUUUGCUGUCAGUGGAAGCAGUUUCAGAGAAAAUUAUUCUUGACACGUAUGAUCUGAUCAACUGAGCAUCAGUGGUUCUUCUGAGCAAUCAUCAUGCAAAUUUAAAUACCUAAAAGAUCAUCUAUCAAGUUGUACCUGCAGCCUAAAUCCUGCCUCCAGUUGCCAGAACAAUCUUCCAGGGCACCGUUGAGGCCACAGACUCUUCCUCCAGUACCAGCAGGCCCAUAAAGACCCGAAGCUCCAAGGAGAGGAAGCACAACUCCAAUAGGAUGCCCAUGCCCUCUGCUAGUAAGGAGAGUAAACACAAGGUACCAUCGAGCUCGGCCCCGUCAUCAGCACUGAAGCAUCUCGGUCAACCAUGAACCCAACCAUCGGUACUGAUGCAAGCAGCUCAGCCGGGGAUGUCUGUACAAGUGGUACCCUCAGUACAGAGAAAGCAUUGGCGCUUGACAAAGCCUGCGGUACGCUCGUCGGUACUGGUACCAUUUGUUCCAGUCCUGGCAACCUCAGCUACAGUGUGUGUACCAGGGUUCUUUCUUGUACUGCAGGAGUUCAGAUACUCAAGGAUUGCUCUAUCUUGGAUGAACCAGAGUCCCCCUUGCUGUCAGGUACAGAGCAGUUCAUGGUACUGAGACCUCGGUCUCUAAGUGGCCACUCUGUGGCACAGGACUCUCUUACAUUCUCAUUGACUGCCCCUCCAACUACAAUGGGAGGAUGUGGAAAAAGAAGAAGAGGGCUCCCUGUCACUUUCCUCAAUUUCUGUUAGGGGUUCUCCUACAUACCCCUUUCGGAAUCUUUCGCGCAGGGAGAACUUCGAGGCUUGUCAAGGACCAACUCUGUAUGCACCCCUGCUCCCUUAUAGACCCCUCCCCCCACAAAGUGGCCAUAUUGGGACCCCUGGGCAACCUAAAAGCAGGAAUUCAGCAGACCACCGGUACCAUCACUUUAGGGAGACUGGGGUUUCGCAUCCUCCCUCUAUUCUUUCACAGCAGGAGGAGAUGUUUGAGGAGCUGGAGGCUAGAUCAGAUGAGGAAUUCACCCCUGAAACUCCCAUUUCAUCAUCAUUGGCAGUCAUGCCUCCCACUCCUUCUGUCACCGACGAGUACAGACAAUUCCAGGACCUCAUUAGAAGGGUGGCUAACACUCUACAGAUCCCUCUGGAGGAGGUCAAAGAUCAUCAGCACAGGCCACCAGAUAUUUUGCAGUCAGCAACACUCUCCAGAGUGGCGCUGCCUAUUAAUGAGGCUCUCCAGAUCCACUUAAGACAGUAUGGCACACACCGGCCACUAUUCCACCAAUGCGCAAAAGGGCAGACAAGAAGUACUACGUGCCCCAUAUGGACUCUGACUUUUUAUUUUCCCCUCCCUCUCCUAACUCCCUUGUGGUGGAUGGCUCUGAAUGAACGGUAUAAGCAGCACUUUUUGAGAACUACCCCCAUGACAAGGACCAAAAGCGACUGGAUCUCUUUGGACAAAAGCAUUAGGCAUCCACAACCCUGCAGGUUGAGAUUGCAAACUAUCAUGCAGUCCUUGCCAAAUAUAACUUUAUCAAUUUCAACAUGCAUUCAACCAGAUCACAAGUGGCAUGUGCUGCAUUUUUGAAGAAUGGCCAAGUAUCUGAGAUAUGUAGAGCUACUAUCUGGUCUUCCGUCCAUACAUUUUCAAAGCAUUACUCCCUGCUCUGUGCCAUUAGAUCUGAUGCAGUACUUAGUACAGCAGAGCCAUCUUCAGCUGUGGAUCUUGUUCUGAAGCUCCCUCCUCCUCCUAGGAAUACUGCUUGGGAGUCACCUGAAGUGGAGUACCUAUAAAGACACUACUCGAAGAAGGAAGAAAUGUUAUCCUGUGCAGUAACUGUAGUUCUUUGAGAUGGGUGCUCUACCACCUGCCCUCCUUAUCCUCUACUUCAGUUGUUCCCUAGGAAAUGACUGAGUAGAGAAGAAACAAAGGGCAGUUCGCCCACGAACGCCUAUAUGUCUGCCGCGAGAAGGCAUAGGGUGCGUGCACAGGCCAAAUGAGCACUGAUAGCUAGAAAUCUCCAAUUAAGGGCUCAAGAGACAUGUAUGCACCUCAAGUGGUGCACCUAUAGGGGGACACAUCCCGAAGAACUACAGUUACUGCACAGGAUGAGUAACAUUUCCUUCCCUGGCCGACUCGACUUCAGUCAACUAAGAAAUGAUAUUUAAGGAUUAAAAGCACUAAGCAAGACUCCCUGUUUGGCAGUUUCAGAGGUCAGCCAGGGCAAUGAAGAAAAAGGUCAUCCGACCCUAAGAUUACCUGGAAGGCAGAACCAGUCCAUCUCUCUACUGAAGGUCACACUGGGAAGUCAUUCCAAAGCUAAGGUCUAGUGACUCCUACAGACUGCACAGCUCCCAUUGGAGAGAGACAAUCCUGAGAAUUGGAACUAGCAGAGUGCAGGAGGUAGCCAGCUCAUUUGCAUGAACUCCUGUAUGAAAUCUUUCUCACGGGUUUCACAGCACAAGUGCUAGCCACAGAGACAAAGUUUUGGCUUUUGUAUCAUGCUGAACUUUCCGAGGUCAGCCUAUCGUAAGGCCAGAAUCUGCUGGAAUAACUCUCGAGAGUCAUCAGCCUGUUGGUGUAAAACUACCUGCUAUUGUUGAUCAGCAGUACCUGCUCCAUGUAUAGUAUGAUCGUAUUACAAUGAAAGUUUUCUUUCCAUUAUAAACCUAAUGUUCAGAGUCUGUACACCCUAAGCAAUCCCCCUGAAAUUUCACAUGCCACAUCUUAGCCCAUGCUACAAAUCACGGUGGAUAAAAAUCAAUGAUUUCUUUUUAAAAAAUAAAAAAAAAAUCUGAUUUUUUUUAUUUAAAUCGGAAUUUUUUGAUAAAAUGCUUUUUGAGGAAAAAACCUAUCUAAAGAGAGUUUUAAUUACGAUACAUUUUAGCUCAAAGAUAUCUCAUCAUGGAAUAGGGAUUAUAAAUUCUAAUUCUAUAGCAUGAGACAAUAUAUUCAUGUAAUGUUUAAAAAAAGUUUUUUAAAUGAGUUCCAAUAGUUCAUAGAUUAGGAACCCAAUUUUAUGGAGUUCCAGGGGCUUCUGUAUAGAUUAUUAAGUUAAUCUAUUUUACCAAUGGGACUCAGUGUUCAGUCUAGAAGACAACCAUCAGAAAUGCUUAGUUUUGCAGUUCUCAAACUGUGGAUUUGAGUCUCCAGAGAUAACAUGCUUCUUAACAGCAAAAACAUUUUUAAAUAAAUAAAUAAUAUAGAGAGGUGAGAAAUAACAGACCUCAACCCUAUUGUCCCUCUGCAAAUUUGUGUACGCAGAGUCAAUCCCUUACAUCUCUCUAAAAGUGCAAAGUUUCAAAAAGUUCAGUGAACAGAAGAUUGUUGAGGGUGGAAUAGAUCUGGACAAAGAGAAGAAAUCUGGAAGUAAAUGUGAGAAGGGCAGGACAGGGAGUAGAAACAAAAGUGAAACUGUUUGAGCAGCCAUAUUCCAGAAGUCUUGCGGUCUUUCUGAGUGUAGCCUUCAUUGAUUUGAGAUCUACCAUACCAUUCUCUCACUAGAAGGGAAAACCUAUAAUGGCUGCAGGCUGUAAAAGAGACCCAGUUUGGGACUAUUUUAAUGACGUUCCUCU
Non-coding RNA from Caretta caretta (loggerhead turtle), 7372 nucleotides. NCBI's taxonomy places the organism in Eukaryota, Metazoa, Chordata, Testudines, Cheloniidae. The record is from RefSeq and is a predicted model, not a curated record.